Molecule: long non-coding RNA, 2309 nt
Filed under: Homo sapiens (human)
Lineage: Eukaryota; Metazoa; Chordata; Mammalia; Primates; Hominidae
Description: HSALNT0355558
Source: RNAcentral
CGCUCGGGGGCGGGUUGGGGGCUCGGGGCCCGCGGGGCGGGGCGGGGCGGGGCGGUCUUGUCUGUCCUGGGCUCUGCGCGUCCAGCGGAGCCUGCGGGCCCGGCCCCAGAGCCUGGUCCACCCGGCUCCCUGCGAAAAUCACGUCCUGGAGCCGCAGCUUGACGUCUGCGCGAAAACUCGCAGUGCCCCGGGUCUUGGAGGGCUGGUUUUUUGUUAAUGAACAUUUUAAGAGGCGGAGACGGAGCGCUAGGCUGGAAGUUUCGAAUGCAACGACCAGCAGAUGACCUUGAGCGACUCUGAGCCUUUGCCUGGAGGGUCAGUGUCCCCAUCUGUGAAAAGGGGAUGGGAAGACAAGGUUGGGUCACCUAAUCUCCAAAUGCCAGGUGGGCCCGAAAAGCCUGGCUCCAGCCCUCCCGGAACAGGCUGCAGGCCCCAGGGUUCCCACCGUCCUUCUCCUUGUGGGGCCAUCAGCUCCCAGCCUCAGUGCCACCUCGGCGAGGCUGAAGCCCCGUCUGUGCCUCUAGUCCUGACCAUCUGGGGAGGCCCUCGCAUCUCCAACCGUCCACUGAGCAAACUUCCCUGGAAGCCCCUAGACACCCCAAACGCCACAAACCCUAAAUGAAGCCAGCUGCUUCCAGUGACUCUUAGUCACUGGAAGUUCUGCUUCUCAGAACCGCCCCCGUUGUCUUCAUCAUCACCUUCCUCUGUCUCCACACAUCCUCCCCAGUCUGUUGCACAAAGCCCCGACGACCUGGCCUCCUUUUCAUCCUUGUACCCCCUCUUCCCAGCCCGGCCCCUCCCUUAGGCCCAGAGCUUCCUAAAGACCUCCUCGCCUCCCCGUCCUCCACGGGACAUUGGCCAGCGCUGGCUCCCGGAGGCCCAGCUGCACUCACUCCCCUUUCAGAGUGGGCCGCAGGAACACAGGUCCCCCACCUCACCCCCCUACCCCUACCCCCCACCACCCCCCCACCCCGCUUCGACCGGAGCCCCCACCAGCCGGGACCCACCUGCACGGCAGCCUUGCGGCCUCCACACUCCGGCUCCUGCAAACAACGCGGCUGACCCGCAGCACCUCUGCUCCCGGCCUCCACCCCGGAGAGCCUGCCCCUUCUCUGCCCCUGCCACCCACAGCCAUCCCUGACCCCAGGUCCAGAACAAUCUCUCUCCUUUCUCUUCCUGCACCGGCCACUUCCCGCCCUCAUCACGUUUGACCUUUUUUAUCUUCUCUGUAUUCUUUGUGAGUGUAAGCGCCUGGAGGACAGAGCCCAUGCCUCACCCACCUUUGCCCUUCCCAUGGAUCUAGCAGUGGUGGCAACCGCCAGAGGUGUGUGCAUUUCCUGUAAGGAUCGGUCCUUUCAGUGGGGAAUUGUGAGAAUGACAUUCGACGAUGAGCUGGGAAACAGGAACCCCAAACCCGUGUGCUUCCUGCGCCGAGCCGUGUGCCUCCGCCUGGUGUGCGCCGUGGGUUCGUCCUUCGCUCCAGACUGCGUUCAAUGCAACAGAUACGGGUGGCACAAGCAUGUGGCCCCACCAUCAUCUCUCCCCUUUGCAUGAUAAAGAGACCGACCAGCAAUGCAGGGGCCGUGGGGAAGAUCCCACACAGCCCCUACACGUCACAGAUAAAAGUCCUUAGAGACAGAAAGGGGAGCAGAACCAGGAUUCAAACCCCAGUCUCCAAAGCAAAGCCCUGAGUUCAUUUCAUUACAGCAAAGAUGCACUGUGCAUUCCAAGCAAUAAAUGGUGUCAAGUCCAUUUAGGGCGGUAUAAUGUCGGAAUAAAAAAUAUAUAUUCGCGGGCCAGGCACGGUGGCUCACACCUGUAAUCCCAACACUUUGGGAGGCCAAGGCAGGUGGAUCAUGAGGUCAGGAGUUCAAGACCAGCCUAGUCAAUAUGGUGAAACCCCAUCUCUACUAAAAACUACAAAAAAUUAGCUGGGCAUGGUGGCACACACCUGUAGUCCCAGCUACUCAGGAGGCUGAGGCAGGAGGAUCACUUGAACCCGGGAGGUGGAGGUUACAGUGAACCGAGAUCGCACCACUGCACUCCAGCCUGGGUGACAGAGCGAGAUUCAGUCUCAAAAAAAAAAAUACAUAUAUAUAUAUAUAUAUAUAUAUAUAUAUAUUCUUUUUGAUGGGCCUUAAUCAUUUGCAUAUGAUCCUAUGACUGAUGUUGGUUGCAAAGAAAACUUGUAAUUUGCAUUAAACACAUCAAUUGCAAACUCAGAUUUUGAGCUGAUGGUUCCUUUCAGCAGGUCUUUGGGCACCUACACAUUACACGUGUGAGUGUGGGCUCUCGGUCUUAGACUGCCA